Herpailurus yagouaroundi (jaguarundi) is the source of this 1979-nucleotide long non-coding RNA. RefSeq lists it as uncharacterized. The record is from RefSeq and is a predicted model, not a curated record. The transcript is spliced from 4 exons. Lineage: Eukaryota; Metazoa; Chordata; Mammalia; Carnivora; Felidae.
CCUGAGCCACUGGGUGUGUGGGGAAGUCAUUCCUGCGAUGAAGAACAAGGGACACAGAUAUCUUUAAUUCACACAAGAUUAUGAGCCAGCCUGAACUGGAAGAUCAUUUACUAUAAAUAUUGCUGUCGUUCAAAGACUCUUAAAAUCAUGGCAUGUUAGGGCUGCAAGAGACCUUAAGAAAUCAUCCAUCCCGACCCCGUCACUUUACAGAUUCCUCGGAGAUAAAAGGCAAGUUGCUAAAUUCAACACACAAGGCUUCUCUGUCUGCCUCCUACCUGAUCACUCCAGCCUGAGCUCUUCUGUACACAGCCCAUCUUCCCACUCUCCCACAGGGAGGGAGAAGGGAGAAGCAGGUAAGGAAAAUGAUUUCACUAUCAAAUCUUUCCUCUCUAAAGCCCCAGGCUGAUACCCAAUUCAAGAAGAGUAGCACCACGUGAGACACUGUCAGCAAUUAUACAUCCUCGCUACUCCUCAUAAUCCACCCCAAAAAUGCAGAAUGAUGCCCCAACGUGCAAAUUCAUGCAAAUACUCCUAGUCUUCUGGAUCUGUCCACCCACAGAAACACAAAUACAGACGAUAAGGGUAGAUGCUCAUCUCUCUGUGCCUUCUCACAAUUCUCCUUGAAAUCCUCUCACGUGGACACGUGAAGUCACAAACAUCCAAACCAGGGGAAGUAGGUUAACUUCUGUGGCUUGGGGAGUGAGAGAAUGCACAGAAGAGGUAGGAAAGAAUGGUGGAAGGUUGAGAGUAAGUGGAAGAAGAAUGAAUGUAUGUAUUCACCAACGUCCCUAAGCCCCAAUAAUGGGCCACAGGUCAUGCUAAGCACUAAGGGUACCAAAAUCAAUAGUGGCUACAGUAAUAAAGCAGCAGCUAAUACUCCAACAGUGGCCACUAUAUAUACAAGGCACUACGUGUUAUAUCAACUUAUUUAGUACACAUAACAAUCCCACGAGAUAGAUAUUCUUACCCUUUAUUUAUAGAUGAUGCAACAAGGUCCAAGAAACCGACAUGUGUAGUGUUGCAUUGCUAAGAAGUGGCAGGAUCUGGAUUCCUUUCCAGGCAUCCGAUUCUAGAAUCUGUGUUCUUACCUACCUCCCAAUACAGCACCCUGCCCGUGAGUAGCUUGCAGACCACCAGGCACUCACAUGCUGGAGCUGGGGCUGUGUGUUCUCUCCUCGGAGAGGCAGCAUGGAAGAGAAGGCAGUGACAGGGACGAGUGGGAUGGCCACUGGCCUUGAAGUCAGACAGACCUAAGCCCAAGUUCUCUAUCUGCCACCCACUACCUAUGGAAACUUCAGCAAGUUAGGUUAUUAACCUCUCUGAGCAACAGUUUCCUCCCCCAGAAACAAAGGUGUGACUAUCUACUUGGUUCAGUUUUAUUGGAAUUAAAUGAGAUUCUGUAUACAAAAGUGCAAAGUACUGUGCUUGGCACAGAGUAAGCUCUCAAUAUAUCCCUUCCUCUUGCUAUCCCAAUACUUUCUCUCCAGCUCCCUAAACCUAAAGUUCUCCAGAAAUAUUAGAAGAACCACUGCACAGGGGAGUCUGGCUGGCUCAGUCGGAAGAGCAUGCAACUACUCUUGAUCUUGAGCCCAAUCAUGAGGGGGAAAAAUUCUGACAAGUUCCAACAGAGGAGCAUCCUACAAAACAUCUAGCCAGCAGUCCUCAAAACUGGCGAGGUCAUCACAAACAAUGAACGUCUGAAAAGCUGUCAUAGCCAAGAAGAACCCAAGGAGACAAAACAACUAAAUGUGAUGUCAUAUCCUGAAUGGGACCCUGGAACAGAAAAAGGACAUCAGAUAAAAAUUAAGGAAAUCUGAAUAAAAAUGUGGAGUUAAUAUAGUUAUUAAUAUUGUUUCAUUAGUCGAAAAUGUCCCCCACUAAUAUGAAUAGGGGAAACUGCGCAGGGGCUAUUCAAGAACUCUGUGCUAUCAGCUCAGGUCUUCUUUAAAAUCUAUCCUAGGGGCGCCUGGGUGGCGCAG